RNAcentral lists this ribosomal RNA (1372 nucleotides) under uncultured bacterium. Its description in RNAcentral is "bacterial SSU rRNA". It matches the Rfam family "Bacterial small subunit ribosomal RNA", at positions 28 to 1381 of the family's 1533-position model. The record is from RNAcentral. RNAcentral also lists the same sequence under 1 other name.
GAUGAACGCUGGCGGCGUGCCUAAUACAUGCAAGUCGAGCGAACGGACGAGAAGCUUGCUUCUCUGAUGUUAGCGGCGGACGGGUGAGUAACACGUGGAUAACCUACCUAUAAGACUGGGAUAACUUCGGGAAACCGGAGCUAAUACCGGAUAAUAUUUUGAACCGCAUGGUUCAAAAGUGAAAGACGGUCUUGCUGUCACUUAUAGAUGGAUCCGCGCUGCAUUAGCUAGUUGGUAAGGUAACGGCUUACCAAGGCAACGAUGCAUAGCCGACCUGAGAGGGUGAUCGGCCACACUGGAACUGAGACACGGUCCAGACUCCUACGGGAGGCAGCAGUAGGGAAUCUUCCGCAAUGGGCGAAAGCCUGACGGAGCAACGCCGCGUGAGUGAUGAAGGUCUUCGGAUCGUAAAACUCUGUUAUCAGGGAAGAACAUAUGUGUAAGUAACUGUGCACAUCUUGACGGUACCUAAUCAGAAAGCCACGGCUAACUACGUGCCAGCAGCCGCGGUAAUACGUAGGUGGCAAGCGUUAUCCGGAAUUAUUGGGCGUAAAGCGCGCGUAGGCGGUUUUUUAAGUCUGAUGUGAAAGCCCACGGCUCAACCGUGGAGGGUCAUUGGAAACUGGAAAACUUGAGUGCAGAAGAGGAAAGUGGAAUUCCAUGUGUAGCGGUGAAAUGCGCAGAGAUAUGGAGGAACACCAGUGGCGAAGGCGACUUUCUGGUCUGUAACUGACGCUGAUGUGCGAAAGCGUGGGGAUCAAACAGGAUUAGAUACCCUGGUAGUCCACGCCGUAAACGAUGAGUGCUAAGUGUUAGGGGGUUUCCGCCCCUUAGUGCUGCAGCUAACGCAUUAAGCACUCCGCCUGGGGAGUACGACCGCAAGGUUGAAACUCAAAGGAAUUGACGGGGACCCGCACAAGCGGUGGAGCAUGUGGUUUAAUUCGAAGCAACGCGAAGAACCUUACCAAAUCUUGACAUCCUUUGACAACUCUAGAGAUAGAGCUUUCCCCUUCGGGGGACAAAGUGACAGGUGGUGCAUGGUUGUCGUCAGCUCGUGUCGUGAGAUGUUGGGUUAAGUCCCGCAACGAGCGCAACCCUCAAGCUUAGUUGCCAUCAUUAAGUUGGGCACUCUAAGUUGACUGCCGGUGACAAACCGGAGGAAGGUGGGGAUGACGUCAAAUCAUCAUGCCCCUUAUGAUUUGGGCUACACACGUGCUACAAUGGACAAUACAAAGGGCAGCGAAACCGCGAGGUCAAGCAAAUCCCAUAAAGUUGUUCUCAGUUCGGAUUGUAGUCUGCAACUCGACUACAUGAAGCUGGAAUCGCUAGUAAUCGUAGAUCAGCAUGCUACGGUGAAUACGUUCCCGGGUCU